RNAcentral lists this ribosomal RNA (455 nucleotides) under uncultured bacterium. RNAcentral's name for it is "bacterial SSU rRNA". It matches the Rfam family "Bacterial small subunit ribosomal RNA", at positions 346 to 793 of the family's 1533-position model. The record is from RNAcentral.
AGGCAGCAGUAGGGAAUCUUCCACAAUGGGCGCAAGCCUGAUGGAGCAACACCGCGUGAGUGAAGAAGGGUUUCGGCUCGUAAAGCUCUGUUGUUAAAGAAGAACACGUAUGAGAGUAACUGUUCAUACGUUGACGGUAUUUAACCAGAAAGUCACGGCUAACUACGUGCCAGCAGCCGCGGUAAUACGUAGGUGGCAAGCGUUAUCUGGAUUUAUUGGGCGUAAAGAGAGUGCAGGCGGUUUUCUAAGUCUGAUGUGAAAGCCUUCGGCUUAACCGGAGAAGUGCAUCGGAAACUGGAUAACUUGAGUGCAGAAGAGGGUAGUGGAACUCCAUGUGUAGCGGUGGAAUGCGUAGAUAUAUGGAAGAACACCAGUGGCGAAGGCGGCUACCUGGUCUGCAACUGACGCUGAGACUCGAAAGCAUGGGUAGCGAACAGGAUUAGAUACCCUGGUAG